AUUUAAAUAAUUUAAUAAAAAUAUUGAUUUGUGGAGUCAAAAAUGUAAAAUUUUACUUUAAAUU
Molecule: transfer RNA, 64 nt
Filed under: Gibbovalva kobusi
Lineage: Eukaryota; Metazoa; Arthropoda; Insecta; Lepidoptera; Gracillariidae
Description: tRNA-His
Source: RNAcentral